Molecule: long non-coding RNA, 428 nt
Filed under: Olea europaea subsp. europaea
Lineage: Eukaryota; Viridiplantae; Streptophyta; Magnoliopsida; Lamiales; Oleaceae
Source: RNAcentral
CUUAAAUUGGCUUGUCAAAGACAAGGCUUAAAGGGGCUUGCCCGAGGGCAAGGCUUAAAUUGGCUUGUCAAAGACAAGGCUUAGAGGGGCUCGCUCGAGGGCAAGGCUUAAAUUGACUUGCUCGAGGGCAAGGCUUAAAGGGGCUUGCCCGAAGGCAAGGCUCAGAGGGGCUUGUCAAGGACAAAGCUUAGAGGGGCUUGCUCGAGGGCAAGGCUUAAAUUGGCUUGUCAAAGACAAGGCUUAGAAGGGCUUGCUCGAGGGCAAGGCUUAAAUUGGCUUGCUCGAGGGCAAGGCUUAAAGGGGCUUGCCCGAGGGCAAGGCUCAGAGGGGCUUGUCAAGGACAAGGCUUAGAGGGGCUUGCUAUACCCGAGGUUUGGAUUUAUUAAUUGUUUGGACUGGACUUGGAUUUAUAUUGCAUCCAAGCUGCC